This is a long non-coding RNA of Melanotaenia boesemani (Boeseman's rainbowfish), 155 nucleotides long. RefSeq lists it as uncharacterized. NCBI's taxonomy places the organism in Eukaryota, Metazoa, Chordata, Actinopteri, Atheriniformes, Melanotaeniidae. The record is from RefSeq and is a predicted model, not a curated record. The transcript has 3 exons.
AGGUGUACUGUCCACCAGUGUACACAGGGCCUGGAACUGCAACACCAACCACAGUCUCAAAAUCCUCUCCAGUCUCCGGGUCACCUGAUGCUGCAGUGACACCCCCUGACAUGCUUUCAGAGUCCUUAUGUCCUGACCUUUUUCCCCCACCUUCU